This 459-nucleotide ribosomal RNA is filed under the name uncultured bacterium. RNAcentral describes it as "partial 16S ribosomal RNA". It matches the Rfam family "Bacterial small subunit ribosomal RNA", at positions 338 to 795 of the family's 1533-position model. The record is from RNAcentral.
CCUACGGGAGGCAGCAGUGAGGAAUAUUGGUCAAUGGCCGGAAGGCUGAACCAGCCAAGCCGCGUGAAGGACGAAGGUGCCAAGCAUUGUAAACUUCUUUUGUCAAGGGACAAAAUCAGGCUCGAGAGCCUGACCGAGGGUACUUGAAGAAAAAGCAUCGGCUAACUCCGUGCCAGCAGCCGCGGUAAUACGUAGGGAGCAAGCGUUGUCCGGAAUUACUGGGUGUAAAGGGAGCGUAGGCGGGGAUGAAAGUUGGGUGUAAAAACUACCGGCUCAACCGAUAGUCGCACUCAAAACUGCAGGUCUUGAGUGAAGUAGAGGCAGGCGGAAUUCCUAGUGUAGCGGUGAAAUGCGUAGAUAUUAGGAGGAACACCAGUGGCGAAGGCGGCCUGCUGGGCUUUUACUGACGCUGAGGCUCGAAAGUGUGGGGAGCAAACAGGAUUAGAUACCCGGGUAGUC